GAUCCUGGCUCAGGAUGAACGCUGGCGGCGUGCUUAACACAUGCAAGUCGAACGAGGAAUUUCAAAUGAGGCUUCGGCGGAUUUUAAAAUUCUUAGUGGCGGACGGGUGAGUAACGCGUGGGCAACCUGCCCUGUACAGGGGGACAACAGCUGGAAACGGCUGCUAAUACCGCAUAAGCGCACAGCAUCGCAUGAUGCCGUGUGAAAAACUCCGGUGGUACAGGAUGGGCCCGCGUUGGAUUAGG
RNAcentral lists this ribosomal RNA (245 nucleotides) under uncultured bacterium. RNAcentral's name for it is "partial 16S ribosomal RNA". It matches the Rfam family "Bacterial small subunit ribosomal RNA", at positions 15 to 245 of the family's 1533-position model. The record is from RNAcentral.